This 229-nucleotide unclassified non-coding RNA is filed under the name plant metagenome. RNAcentral's name for it is "partial contains small subunit ribosomal RNA, internal transcribed spacer 1, and 5.8S ribosomal RNA". The record is from RNAcentral.
UCUCCGUAGGUGAACCCGCGGAGGGAUCAUUACAGAGUUCAUGCCCUACCGGGUAGAUCUCCCACCCUAUGUUAUUAUUACUUCGUUGCUUUGGCGGGCCGUUAGGCUCCGGCCCGACUACCGGCCCCGGCUGGUAAGCGCCCGCCAGAGGACCCAAAACCCUGAAUAUUAGUGUCGUCUGAGUACUAUAUAAUAGUUAAAACUUUCAACAACGGAUCUCUUGGUUCUG